CCUUCGGGGAUGAGUAGAGCGGCAAACGGGUGAGUAGCGCGUGGGAAUCUGCCCAGUAGCGGGGGAUAGGCCGGGGAAACCCGGAUUAAUACCGCAUACGCCCUACGGGGGAAAGGUGGCUUCGGCUGCCGCUAUUGGAUGAGCCCGCGUUAGAUUAGUUUGUUGGUGGGGUAAUGGCCUACCAAGGCUUCGAUCUAUAGCUGGUCUGAGAGGAUGAUCAGCCACAUUGGGACUGAGACACGGCCCAGACUCCUGCGGGAGGCAGCAGUGGGGAAUAUUGGACAAUGGGCGGAAGCCUGAUCCAGCCAUGCCGCGUGUGUGAAGAAGGCUUUAGGGUUGUAAAGCACUUUCAGCGGGGAGGAAUAGCGGGCGGUUAAUAGCCGUUUGCCUUGACGUUACCUGCAGAAGAAGCACCGGCAAACUCCGUGCCAGCAGCCGCGGUAAUACGGAGGGUGCGAGCGUUAAUCGGAAUUACUGGGCGUAAAGCGCGCGUAGGUGGCGCGUUAAGCAGGAUGUGAAAGCCCCGAGCUCAACUUGGGAAUUGCAUCCUGAACUGGCGGGCUAGAGUAUGGUAGAGGGUAGUGGAAUUUCUGGUGUAGCGGUGGAAUGCGUAGAUAUCAGAAGGAACAUCAGUGGCGAAGGCGACUAUCUGGACCAAUACUGACACUGUGGCGCGAAAGCGUGGGGAGCGAACAGGAUUAGAUACCCUGGUAGUCCACGCCGUAAACGAUGUCAAUUGGCCGUUGGGAAACUUGUUUUCUUAGUGGCGCAGCUAACGCGAUAAAUUGACCGCCUGGGGAGUACGGCCGCAAGGUUAAAA
RNAcentral lists this ribosomal RNA (820 nucleotides) under uncultured bacterium. RNAcentral describes it as "bacterial SSU rRNA". It matches the Rfam family "Bacterial small subunit ribosomal RNA", at positions 77 to 899 of the family's 1533-position model. The record is from RNAcentral.